CAGUCGCCGCGGUAAUGCGGAGGGUGCAAGCGUUAAUCGGAAUUACUGGGCGUAAAGCGUGCGUAGGCGGUUCGUUAAGUCUGUUGUGAAAGCCCCGGGCUCAACCUGGGAAUGGCAAUGGAUACUGGCGAGCUAGAGUGUGUCAGAGGAUGGUGGAAUUCCCGGUGUAGCGGUGAAAUGCGUAGAGAUCGGGAGGAACAUCAGUGGCGAAGGCGGCCAUCUGGGACAACACUGACGCUGAGGCACGAAAGCGUGGGGAGCAAACAGGAUUAGAGACCCCCGUAGUCCCUGUCUCUUAUAC
Molecule: ribosomal RNA, 301 nt
Filed under: uncultured bacterium
Lineage: Bacteria
Description: partial 16S ribosomal RNA
Rfam family: Bacterial small subunit ribosomal RNA
Source: RNAcentral